RNAcentral lists this transfer RNA (73 nucleotides) under Stegodyphus dumicola. RNAcentral's name for it is "tRNA-Met". It matches the Rfam family "tRNA". From Rfam's summary of the family: Transfer RNA (tRNA) molecules are approximately 80 nucleotides in length. Their secondary structure includes four short double-helical elements and three loops (D, anti-codon, and T loops). Lineage: Eukaryota; Metazoa; Arthropoda; Arachnida; Araneae; Eresidae. The record is from RNAcentral.
GCCUUCGUGGUGUAGUGGUCUGCACGCUGGGCUCAUAUUUCAGAGGUCCGUGGUUCGAUUCCCGGCGAAGGCG